GCGCCCGUAGCUCAGCGGUGGAGCAGCCGGCUCAUAACCGGCGGGCCGCAGGUUCGAAUCCUGCCGGGCGCACCA
RNAcentral lists this transfer RNA (75 nucleotides) under Clostridiales bacterium. Its description in RNAcentral is "tRNA-Met". It matches the Rfam family "tRNA". Rfam says of the family: Transfer RNA (tRNA) molecules are approximately 80 nucleotides in length. Their secondary structure includes four short double-helical elements and three loops (D, anti-codon, and T loops). RNAcentral also lists the same sequence under 1 other name. The record is from RNAcentral. Lineage: Bacteria; Bacillati; Bacillota; Clostridia; Eubacteriales.